RNAcentral lists this ribosomal RNA (676 nucleotides) under uncultured bacterium. RNAcentral's name for it is "bacterial SSU rRNA". It matches the Rfam family "Bacterial small subunit ribosomal RNA", at positions 102 to 766 of the family's 1533-position model. The record is from RNAcentral.
ACGGGUGAGUAACGCGUGGGGAAUCUGCCUUUGAGCGGGGGACAACAUUUGGAAACGAAUGCUAAUACCGCAUAAAAACUUUAAACACAAGUUUUAAGUUUGAAAGAUGCAAUUGCAUCACUCAAAGAUGAUCCCGCGUUGUAUUAGCUAGUUGGUGAGGUAAAGGCUCACCAAGGCGAUGAUACAUAGCCGACCUGAGAGGGUGAUCGGCCACAUUGGGACUGAGACACGGCCCAAACUCCUACGGGAGGCAGCAGUAGGGAAUCUUCGGCAAUGGACGAAAGUCUGACCGAGCAACGCCGCGUGAGUGAAGAAGGUUUUCGGAUCGUAAAACUCUGUUGGUAGAGAAGAACGUUGGUGAGAGUGGAAAGCUCAUCAAGUGACGGUAACUACCCAGAAAGGGACGGCUAACUACGUGCCAGCAGCCGCGGUAAUACGUAGGUCCCGAGCGUUGUCCGGAUUUAUUGGGCGUAAAGCGAGCGCAGGUGGUUUAUUAAGUCUGGUGUAAAAGGCAGUGGCUCAACCAUUGUAUGCAUUGGAAACUGGUAGACUUGAGUGCAGGAGAGGAGAGUGGAAUUCCAUGUGUAGCGGCGAAAUGCGUAGAUAUAUGGAGGAACACCGGUGGCGAAAGCGGCUCUCUGGCCUGUAACUGACACUGAGGCUCGAAAGCGUGGGG